CCUACGGGAGGCAGCAGUGGGGAAUAUUGCACAAUGGGCGAAAGCCUGAUGCAGCAACGCCGCGUGAGCGAUGAAGGCCUUCGGGUCGUAAAGCUCUGUCCUCAAGGAAGAUAAUGACGGUACUUGAGGAGGAAGCCCCGACUAACUAAGUGCCGGCAGCCGCGGUAAUCCGCAGGGGGCUGGCGUUAUCCGGAAUUACUGGGCGUAAAGGGUGCGUAGGUGGUUUCUUAAGUCAGAGGUGAAAGGCGACGGCUCAACCGUAGUAAGCCUGUGAAACUGGGGAACUUGAGUGCAGGAGAGGAGAGUGGAAGUCGUAGUGUAGCGGUGAAAUGCGUAGAUAUUACGAGGAACACCAGUUGCGAAGGCGGCUCACUAAACUGUCACUGACACUGAGGCACGAAAGCGUGGGGAGCAAACAGGAUUAGAUACCCCUGUAGUC
This 439-nucleotide ribosomal RNA is filed under the name uncultured bacterium. RNAcentral's name for it is "partial 16S ribosomal RNA". It matches the Rfam family "Bacterial small subunit ribosomal RNA", at positions 338 to 795 of the family's 1533-position model. The record is from RNAcentral.